Molecule: long non-coding RNA, 200 nt
Organism: Suricata suricatta (meerkat)
Lineage: Eukaryota; Metazoa; Chordata; Mammalia; Carnivora; Herpestidae
Exons: 2
Source: RefSeq, a predicted model, not a curated record
AGACGUUUCUCCAAAGAAGACAUAACAAGUGGCCAACAGGACAAAUGGACCCAGCAAAAUCAGUCACGUGGAUGGUAACAAGAAUUCUCUAAUUCCUAACAUGUACGACGUAGGCCUGGAUGACAUCAGUAUUUUCAAAGUGAUACAAAUGUAAGAAUCACCUGGAACCCUUCUUGAAAAUAAAAGAUGUUGAGAUAUCA